RNAcentral lists this ribosomal RNA (406 nucleotides) under uncultured bacterium. RNAcentral's name for it is "partial 16S ribosomal RNA". It matches the Rfam family "Bacterial small subunit ribosomal RNA", at positions 30 to 526 of the family's 1533-position model. The record is from RNAcentral.
AUUGAACGCUUGCGGCAGGCCUACCACAUGCAAGUCGACCGAGUGGCGGACGGGUGAGUAAUGUCUGGGAUACUUCCCGCUGGAGGGGGCUAACUACUGGAAACGGUAGCUCCUACCGCCUACCAUCGGAUGUGCCCAGCUGGGAUUAGCUAGUAGGUGGGGUCACGGCUCACCUAGGCGACGAUCCCUAGCUGGUCUGAGAGGAUGACCAGCGACACGGGAACUGAGACAGGGUCCAGACUCCUACGGGAGGCAGCAGUGGGGAAUAUUGCACAAUGGGCGAAAGCCGGAUGCAGCCAUGCCGCGUGUGUGAAGAAGGCCUUCGGGUUGUAAAGUACUUUAAGCGAGGAGGCGUUACUCGCAGAAGAAGCACCGGCUAACUCCGUGCCAGCAGCCGCGGUAAUAC